AAAUAAAAAAUUAUUAAUUGUAUUUUGUAAUUUAGAUUUUUAAUAUAAAUAAAUUUAAUUUAAUAGUUUUUUGUAUUAUUUAAAGAUAAAAUAAUUUUUAUUAUAGUAAAUUAGUAUUGAAAAAGAAUUUUGAAAAAUUUAUUAUUUAAUUAAAAGUAAUAUUUAUUUUAUGUACCUUUUGUAUCAGGGUUUAUUAAUUAAAGAUUAAUGAUUUUAUGAUUCUCGAAUUUAAAGGAGCUAGUUUAAUAUGAUAGUUUAUGUGUUAUAAUAAUUAUAAAUAUUAAAUUAGUAAUGAAACGUUAUUCGUCUUUAAAGAUAUCUAGUUUUUUAAGAAAUAAAUUUAAUUUACAUAUUAAUAAUAUAAUGUUUUUUAUUUAAAAAUUAAUUAUUUGUUAAUAUGAAUAUAUUAAGGGAUAAGCUUUAAUUUAUUGGGUUAUAAUUUUAUAAAUUUAAGAAUUAAUUGUAGAUUUAGAAAUAGUUAUCAAUAAAGAUUUUGUAUUAAUUUAUAAAUGUUAUUUAAUGUUUUAUAAAAUUUAAUUUUAGUAUUAAAAUAUAUUUUUUAAUAAUAAAAAAGUAGAAAUAAUGAUGAAAUUAGUAUAUAUUAUUUAUUAAUUUUAAAAUUUAAUAAAAAUUAAUUUAAGGAAUUCGGCAAAAUAAUAUUCACCUGUUUAACAAAAACAUGUCUUUUAGAAAAUAAUUUAAAGUCUAAACCUGCCCACUGAAUAAUUUUGAAGGGCCGCAGUAUUUUGACUGUGCAAAGGUAGCAUAAUCAUUAGUCUUUUAAUUGAAGGCUUGUAUGAAUGGUUGGAUGAAAUAUUAACUGUCUCAAAUUAAUAAAAUAGAAUUUAAUUUUUAAGUUAAAAAGCUUAAAUAAAAUUAGAGGACGAGAAGACCCUAUAGAUCUUUAUAUUUUUAUUUUUAAUUUUUAUUUAGAAUAAAAAAAACAUUUUUAGUAAUAUUAAUAUUUUAUUGGGGUGAUAAUUAAAUUUAAUUAACUUUAUUUAAUAAAAACAUUAAUUUAUGAAUGAUUGAUCCAUUAUUAGUGAUUAGAAGAUUAAGUUACCUUAGGGAUAACAGCGUAAUUUUUUUAGAGAGUUCUUAUCGAUAAAAAAGUUUGCGACCUCGAUGUUGAAUUAAAGAUUAAUUUAGGUGCAGUAGUUUAAAUGUUUGGUCUGUUCGACCAUUAAAUCUUUACAUGAUUUGAGUUCAAACCGGCGUGAGCCAGGUUGGUUUCUAUCCUUAAUAAAAUAAAAUAUUUUAGUACGAAAGGACCAAAUAUUUAGAAAAUUUUUUUUUUGUGAGAAUAUUAUUAAU
RNAcentral lists this ribosomal RNA (1314 nucleotides) under Neochauliodes rotundatus. RNAcentral describes it as "16S ribosomal RNA". The stretch from base 1070 to 1228 matches the Rfam family "Archaeal large subunit ribosomal RNA", at positions 2542 to 2701 of the family's 2987-position model. Lineage: Eukaryota; Metazoa; Arthropoda; Insecta; Megaloptera; Corydalidae. The record is from RNAcentral.